GACGCGUUAGCUCAGUUGGUAGAGCGUCGGAUUCCAAAUCCGAAGGUCAUUGGUUCGAGUCCUGUACGUGUCA
Sugiyamaella lignohabitans is the source of this 73-nucleotide transfer RNA. It matches the Rfam family "tRNA". Rfam says of the family: Transfer RNA (tRNA) molecules are approximately 80 nucleotides in length. Their secondary structure includes four short double-helical elements and three loops (D, anti-codon, and T loops). NCBI's taxonomy places the organism in Eukaryota, Fungi, Ascomycota, Dipodascomycetes, Dipodascales, Trichomonascaceae. The record is from Rfam.